This is an RNA transcript of Alnus glutinosa, 3732 nucleotides long. It is a transcript of the gene named pumilio homolog 6, chloroplastic-like, with no coding region annotated. NCBI's taxonomy places the organism in Eukaryota, Viridiplantae, Streptophyta, Magnoliopsida, Fagales, Betulaceae. The transcript has 11 exons. The record is from RefSeq and is a predicted model, not a curated record.
AAACCUUAUCUGGAAAUAGCACUUUUUCUCUUUAUAGCAAACAAAGCCUCAGAUACUCAAAAGACCCUGACUCCAAGCCAAAUAUAUCAUUUUGGAACACCGUUUCUCUCUAGAAAGAAUCUAGGGUUCGAACAGUGAAUCUUCCCCCUCAGUUUUCUGGUGACCAUGUGAGAUUUCUUGAUACUAAUAGGAAAGAAAGAACAUAUUAAUCUUCUGAUAGUAUGGCGACAGAAAGUCCAAUCAGAAUGUCAGAAACUAGUGGGAAAUGGCCUUCCCAUCAAGAGACUGCAACAUUUGCAGUGUCAUCUGCUAGUGUGGCAGCAGAGGAGUUGGGAUUGCUUUUGAAGGGCCAUAAGUUUCAUGGAAGGGGGAGGGAUGCAGUCCCUAAUCGAAGUGGAAGUGCACCCCCAAGCAUGGAAGGUUCGUUCUUGUCCAUGGACAACCUUUUGUCCCAACAGACCUACAACUUGAAUGAAAGCCUUGCAAGUCUAAACAGUGCCUAUGAGUCUGAGGAGCAAAUGCGUGCUGAUCCAGCUUAUUUGGCUUAUUACUUUUCCAAGGUCAACCUAAACCCUAGGCUUCCUCCCCCACUUACCUCAUCAGAGAAUCGCCGUGUGGUACGCCAUUUUGGUAGUUUUGGCAACAACUGGACAUUGACUUCUGUGGAUGAUAGUGGCAACAGUUCCUUGCAUAUGUCUCACGGAACCCUCUCUACGCAGUACGAAGAGUCUGAAGAUGAUCAGUCACCCCAAAAGCCUUCUGAUGAUUGGGUAGAUGGGACAAGUGGGUUUUGGUCUGGCCAGGAUGUGGCUUCAUUGGCAGGUCAACAGAAAAAUAUGGUGGAUUUAAUAAAGGAAGAUUUACCCCACACUCCUCCAUCUGUAUAUAGUCAGUCUAACUUGUUAAGCCAUGGAGUAGUAGAGGAAGCAGUUGACCACAAUGGUGAUUCCAGGUCCUUGUGCGAUCCGCUUAUUAGCACAUCAAAUGGCGUCACAUCUACUCCUAGUGCAGAUUAUAGAAGGGCAUCAUCAAAUUCCGAUCCUUCGGUUGGCCCUGAUUCAAGGUCAUCAUUUCAUGAUCGUAUAGGAAGUGCGGAUGUAAAUGAUUCAAACAUUACCACUAUUGAAUCUGAAAUGAAGGCUCUUUUUAGAUCCAAUCCUCCAAAUCCAGAAAAUCAAAAAAAUCAAGAACAAUGGCAACAUGGCAGCCAGAAUAAUAUCUUGCAACCCCUGGUAAACCAAUUACAAAACAAUUUUUCUCAAGUUCAAACCGCCAAGUCUCAAGUGAUAUCUCAAGGUGUAAACUGCACAUAUGUUGGUGCGGACCAGUUUCUCCAUAAUCCCAGCAAGUUUACAGUAGAGGUACAACCAGUACUACAGUCGUCUGGGUUCACGCCUCCACUCUAUGCAACUGCAGCGGCUUACAUGACUUCAGCAAAUCAUUUCUACCCUAAUCUGCAGGCCCCAGGCUUAUAUCCACCACAAUAUGUAGGUGGAUAUGCUUUGAAUCCUGCAUCUGUUCCUCCAUAUAUUGCUGGAUACUCUCCUCAUGGUGCUGCCGUUGUUGUUGAUGGAACUGCUGGUCCAAGCUAUACUGCUCAAACACCUGGGGUUUCAACUGGGGGAAACAUAGCGCAUGGAGCUGAUAUGCAACAUUUAGGCAAGUUCUAUGGACAGUUUGGUUUUCCACUACAACCUUCCUUUGGUGACCCUGUAUGUAUGCAGUACCAGCAACAGCUUUAUGGUGAGGCAUUCAGUGGCAUUUCUGGUCAAUUUGAUCCAUUGGCUUCUAGAGGUGGCAUUGAUAUUGGGAGCCAGGUUAGAGCUCUUGAUUCACAGAAAGGUUCCAGUAUUGCUGGUUAUUUGGAUGAUCACAAAUUCCAUCAGAUAAAUGGAGGCUCGAAUAAGUUAAACCCAAGACGAGGUGGGAUGAUGAGUCCUAACUAUUAUGGGAAUCCUACAAACAUGGGUUUUCUGAUGCAGUAUGCCAACUCGCCACUUGCAAGUCCAGUUUUGCCAGGAUCGCCUGUUGGUGGAACUGGUGUUCCUGGGGGAAGAAAUGAAAUGAGAUUUGGUCCAGCUUCUGGUAGAAAUGCUGGUGUAUAUCCUGGAUGGCAAGGUCAAAGAGGCUUUGAGAGUUUUGAUGACCCCAAAAUAUAUAAUUUUCUUGAAGAGUUGAAAUCUGGCAAAGGCCGCAGAUUUGAGCUGUCUGAUAUCGUAGGACAUAUUGUUGAAUUCAGUGCUGAUCAACAUGGGAGUCGAUUUAUUCAGCAGAAGUUGGAAAAUUGUAGUGUUGAAGAGAAGGCAUCCGUAUUUAAAGAGGUUCUCCCUCAUGCUUCCAAGCUAAUGACUGAUGUUUUUGGUAACUAUGUUAUUCAGAAGUUUUUUGAGCAUGGAAGCCCUGGACAGAGGAAGGAACUUGCUAAUCAACUCACAGGUCAGGUUUUGCCUUUAAGUCUGCAGAUGUAUGGCUGUCGUGUAAUCCAAAAGGCACUUGAGGUUAUUGAGCUUGAACAAAAAGCACAGCUUGUUCGAGAGCUGGAUGGACAUGUUAUGAGAUGUGUACGUGAUCAAAAUGGGAAUCAUGUAAUACAAAAGUGCAUUGAGAGUGUUCCAACAGAGAAAAUUGAGUUUAUCAUAUCUGCUUUUCGUGGUCAAGUUGCGACGCUUUCUAUGCAUCCUUAUGGUUGUCGUGUCAUACAGAGAGUUCUAGAGCAUUGUACAGAUGAGCUGCAAUGUCAGUUUAUAGUGGAUGAAAUAUUGGAGUCUGUUUGUGCUCUUGCUCAGGACCAGUACGGAAACUAUGUCACCCAGCAUGUAUUGGAGAGAGGAAAGCCUCAGGAAAGGUACCAGAUUAUAAGCAAGUUGUCAGGACAUAUUGUACAUCUGAGCCAGCAUAAAUUUGCUUCAAACGUUGUUGAGAAAUGUUUGGAGUAUGGUGGGGCCACUGAACGAGAACUAUUAAUUGGAGAGGUUUUUGGGCAUACGGAAGGAACUGAUAAUUUAUUGAUAAUGAUGAAGGACCAAUUUGCAAAUUACGUGGUCCAGAAGGUUCUUGAAAUAUGUUCUGAUAAUCAGCGAGCAAUAUUGCUUAGUUGUGUAAGAGUUCAUGCACAUGCUUUGAAGAAAUACACUUACGGGAAACACAUUGUGGCUCGAUUUGAACAGCUAUUUGGAGAAGAAAAUCCUACGUCUGGAUCCUGAUGCAAAAACAGGGGGAAUCAUCCAUGCCUCUGGUUGGUGAUGCUAUGGCCCAUCUCGUACUUGCAAUCAGUGAAAAGAAAGGAAUAACAUGAGACAGGUUUUAAGGUGAGAUUGCAGGUGAUAGAGUUGAUACUAGGAUGGAUUUUAGCAGUUGUGUAGGAUGUCAAAUUGCUGAGGGUGAAGAAUAUUCUCAUGGGAAUCACAACAAAUGAAUAUAAUCUUUGAAAACUACUACUUCUGGGUUGUCACCUCAAAAUUUAUCUUAAGGUUGUUUCUUUGGCCUGGGGAGAUGGGUUUAUUGCUUUGCUACAAGAGAUGUGAUCAUGCUCUAGGCGUUCAUAUGCUGCUCUCUAAUUUUUUGUGGUCUGGGUAACCGAUUGAAUGGCAUUCCUUAAAAGCUUUGACUGCAUGCAAAAAGAAAAGGGUUACUUUUUUCGGUUAAUAUUUUAAGGAUGUUCCUGAUCUAAUCUAAAGGUGAGAUUGCCAGCAAACUGUUGGGAUUGAAAUAAUGACAAGAAUUUCCUACAAA